UGGGGAAUUUUGGACAAUGGGCGAAAGCCUGAUCCAGCAAUGCCGCGUGUGUGAAGAAGGCCUUCGGGUUGUAAAGCACUUUUGUCCGGAAAGAAAUCCUUGGCUCUAAUACAGUCGGGGGAUGACGGUACCGGAAGAAUAAGCACCGGCUAACUACGUGCCAGCAGCCGCGGUAAUACGUAGGGUGCAAGCGUUAAUCGGAAUUACUGGGCGUAAAGCGCGCGCAGGCGGUUUGCUAAGACCGAUGUGAAAUCCCCGGGCUCAACCUGGGAACUGCAUUGGUGACUGGCAGGCUAGAGUAUGGCAGAGGGGGGUAGAAUUCCACGUGUAGCAGUGAAAUGCGUAGAGAUGUGGAGGAAUACCGAUGGCGAAGGCAGCCCCCUGGGCCAAUACUGACGCUCAUGCACGAAAGCGUGGGGAGCAAACAGGAUUAGAUACCCUGGUAGUCCACGCCCUAAACGAUGUCAACUAGUUGUUGGGGAUUCAUUUCCUUAGUAACGUAGCUAACGCGUGAAGUUGACCGCCUGGGGAGUACGGUCGCAAGAUUAAAACUCAAAUGAAUUGACGGGGUCAUA
Molecule: ribosomal RNA, 575 nt
Filed under: uncultured bacterium
Lineage: Bacteria
Description: partial 16S ribosomal RNA
Rfam family: Bacterial small subunit ribosomal RNA
Source: RNAcentral